This 257-nucleotide ribosomal RNA is filed under the name Bacillus sp. (in: firmicutes). RNAcentral's name for it is "Bacillus sp. (in: Bacteria) partial 16S ribosomal RNA". It matches the Rfam family "Bacterial small subunit ribosomal RNA", at positions 61 to 309 of the family's 1533-position model. Lineage: Bacteria; Bacillati; Bacillota; Bacilli; Caryophanales; Bacillaceae. The record is from RNAcentral.
GUCGAGCGAAUCUGAGGGAGCUUGCUCCCAAAGAUUAGCGGCGGACGGGUGAGUAACACGUGGGCAACCUGCCUGUAAGACUGGGAUAACUCCGGGAAACCGGGGCUAAUACCGGAUAAUAUCUAUUUAUACAUAUAAUUAGAUUGAAAGAUGGUUCUGCUAUCACUUACAGAUGGGCCCGCGGCGCAUUAGCUAGUUGGUGAGGUAACGGCUCACCAAGGCGACGAUGCGUAACCGACCUGAGAGGGUGAUCGGCC